AAGGUUUGGACGAAAUUGAAGACUUAAAGAGGCUAAGAAUGUGAAGAAUUAGUGUACAAAGGAUCAUGAAUUCAGCCACAAAAGGACACACAUCCUUGCCGUGCAAUCCACAUAGCAUUCCCUUUGGAUUCCCAUGCAUGCUUAAUGAUCCUUGUCCCCUAAUACACUCAAUUAUCACACUCAAUUGCUGCAUACCUCUUGUUCCCUUCACCCAUCUGAUUUCACACAACUUUCACAACCAUUCCAUGCACCAAUUGAUGCUCCAUCAUCCACAUUUGGGAUCCAAUGCCGUGUGCAACACAUGUUGUUGCACCUUUGACUAAUUUCUGAAACAUUUCACCUCCCCUUUUCAUUUCAAUGCAACGAACACAAUCAUUCAUGCUCCCUAGCUGAAAUACCACUCCAUUUUACCCUCCAUACUUUGCAUCAUUGCUCCAUUUUCAUCCUUGGACCAUUGCACACCACAAAUUCACCCUCAUUGCUGUGCAUUUCCCCCACUGCCUAAUCUGAUUCUCUAGGGUUUUGGGGCCUAUAUAUACAUGUUUACAACCCUUGGCAAAGGGUUCAACCUCCCAUAUUCAUCAUUCAUGCAGAAAAUUCGUCCAUACUCACCUUAGGCAGCAAAACACCCCAAAAACACCAUUUUAGUGCCCAGAAAACAUAACAGCCACUCCACCUUAUUCCACCCUCUUUGCCGAGUUUUCCACCACCCUCCAACCAUCAAACACUCCUCCACACUCACCCUAAACCUUUCUAUAUCAUUCCUCAUCCAUUCUACACCAUAAAACUACCCAAAACCUGUCCACAAACCAAUCUGCCGCAAGCAAGGGAAAGGAGAAUUCUUGGAUGCACUUGCUGCCAAGUUGGAGCAUUCUAGGUGUUUUCUUUCUUUGGAUUUUAAUGUCUAAUUCAUGUAAUCUUUGUUUUGCUUUAAGUAUGAUUGGCUAAUUUUGUUUUGGCUAAGGGUGUAUUCAAAACCAUGAUUAUAUAUGUGAAAUAAGUUGAUUACUUCCAGUUAUUGUUGCAUAAGUUGUGAAUACAAUUUGCUUAACCGUUGGAUUUAGAACUUAUUCUUGCAUGUUGAUUGAGAGUGCACGCUUGAUUUGCAUGUUUGAAUUUGGUGCUAGGAUAUAAAUUUGUUUCACCUAAUUGUUAUGAAUUUAUAUUCGCAAGUAGUGAAGGUCGCUAGUCACGAUCGUGUUAAGUAGAUUCCUGGCAAGAGUAUCAUGCUUUCCAUAGUUACAAAUGCCUUGUCGAUGCUUAUGAUUUCCAAAGAACGUAAUGAUUCUAACUUGUGUCUUUAUCAUGCUGUUCAUAUAGAGAACUUGUUAGGAAUAAUUUGUUUGCGAUGCAUAUUCAUCCGAUUCAAUGAUUCUAGGGAAAUCUGAAGGUUAAUUUAAGCGGACCUAAUUAACUUGGAGUGUCGAGGUUCAUAACUUAUUCAAUUGAUAACUGGAAAUCGAUUUAGGUUGCAUAU
This 1477-nucleotide long non-coding RNA is filed under the name Malus domestica (apple). RNAcentral's name for it is "long non-coding RNA (MDOM_LNC019860)". Lineage: Eukaryota; Viridiplantae; Streptophyta; Magnoliopsida; Rosales; Rosaceae. The record is from RNAcentral.